This is a non-coding RNA of Danio rerio (zebrafish), 1019 nucleotides long. The record is from RefSeq and is a predicted model, not a curated record. NCBI's taxonomy places the organism in Eukaryota, Metazoa, Chordata, Actinopteri, Cypriniformes, Danionidae.
AUCAAACUUAAAAAAACGAUGUUGCCACUUAAUAGGAACUGUGUGAAUGUAAUGUUUAUCAUGGCUUUACUCCAUCCAUGAUAAGUAACAUGUCUAUAAUCUCAACAUGAUUAUUUGGCCGGAAUCAAAGUCUCUGCACGCAGUCCAUUCAUGAAUUUGUCGGGAGAGAAGGCGGGACCGUCUCCAAUUUUGGAAAGCUCAUUGGAUGGUGAUACUUCCUCUUUAAGCUAUUGGCUCCUUGGAGUCACGGUCAAGAGUUCAGAGUGCAAAGGCCGGCGGCCAUUUUGUAGAUCAGAUCGCUACAAUGUUUAUGCGUGAAAGUAUGGCUCCACUCUCACCAGCAGCUGGUUUGGAUAUCAGUGCACCUUUUCAAGGAUGUAUAUCGACGAAUGAAGGUGUUAUGGAAUAAUGUUUAUGGAUUAGAUUGCCUGGUCAUUUGCCUUCGAACUACUUCAGCUAUCAGAAUGUUAUGGAUCUGCUGACCAGCGGGAGGCUGAGAGGUCUUUGAAACAUCUUCUACCAUGAAAGUGGUAAAGCUGGAGAAAUCCGCUCACUCUCGAGCUGUUUUCAGAUUACUCAUUAGUAUGCAUGGGACACCAAAACCAGAUUUAAACCUUGCGGAUGACUACAGGACUUCGUCACCAAUAGCUUCCAUCGUCCAUCCAAUCUGUGAGGGACAUCAUCAGGAAGAAAACACUCAACAACACGGCUCUGGGGGAACUGAGAAGCAGAUGAAUGACACUGUCACGCAGACUCCAAUCAAACGCACAGAAACUGACAAUAAGCAAUCUGAGAGUGCUUUCCAUCAGCAAAGCCUUUUGAGAAGAGCCAUCGGGAUUCUUCUCAUCUUCUUCUUCAUUUUUGGAGUAAUUGUUUUUUUCAUGGUCACCAAUCAGUAUUGCUUGAGUGACUUUGUAAAACUGUGCUGUGUUAAAAGGCACAAUCCGCCCGUAUGAACAUAUGAACACAGUUUGCAUUCAGAACACAAUAAAGCAUGACAAAAUGUGGUUUGAAAAAGU